GCACCUGUGGCUCAAAGGAGUAGGGCACCGGCCCCAUAUGCCGGAGGUGGCUGGUUCAAACCCAGCCCUGUCCA
Molecule: transfer RNA, 74 nt
Filed under: Otolemur garnettii (small-eared galago)
Lineage: Eukaryota; Metazoa; Chordata; Mammalia; Primates; Galagidae
Rfam family: tRNA
About the family: Transfer RNA (tRNA) molecules are approximately 80 nucleotides in length. Their secondary structure includes four short double-helical elements and three loops (D, anti-codon, and T loops).
Source: Rfam by way of RNAcentral